GACGAACGCUGGCGGCACGCUUAACACAUGCAAGUCGAACGAAAAUGUUUCACCGUAGCUUGCUACACCGAGACAUUUUAGUGGCGGACGGGUGAGUAACACGUGAGGAACCUGCCUAUCAGAGAGGGAUACCCGUUUGGAAACGAACGUUAAUACCCCAUAACGUAACGAGAUCGCAUGAUAAUGUUACCAAAGAUUUAUUGCUGAAAGAUGGUCUCGCGUCUGAUUAGCUAGUUGGUGAGGUAACGGCUCACCAAGGCGACGAUCAGUAGCCGGUCUGAGAGGAUGAACGGCCACAUUGGGACUGAGAUACGGCCCAGACUCCUACGGGAGGCAGCAGUGGGGAAUAUUGGGCAAUGGGGGAAACCCUGACCCAGCAACGCCGCGUGAAGGAAG
Molecule: ribosomal RNA, 396 nt
Filed under: uncultured bacterium
Lineage: Bacteria
Description: bacterial SSU rRNA
Rfam family: Bacterial small subunit ribosomal RNA
Source: RNAcentral